This 857-nucleotide long non-coding RNA is filed under the name Glycine max (soybean). Its description in RNAcentral is "long non-coding RNA (GMAX_LNC001163)". Lineage: Eukaryota; Viridiplantae; Streptophyta; Magnoliopsida; Fabales; Fabaceae. The record is from RNAcentral.
UUUGAUAAGCCAUGAAAGAAUCUUUGGUUGGAAUGCGACUCUCAAUUAGUGAUCCUAGCCUUCAAGGAUGUCAGCAUAGUCCCACGGCAGAUUCAAAAUACGUGGGAAAAUACAAUUUGGCUCACCAGAUCAAUGAACUUCGUGGUGGGUCACAUUUAUCGUGAAGGUAACUCAUGUCCAGAUAGACUUGUCUUAAAUGUCAACACUAUACAAGAUUUUUGCUGGUGGGAUUUCACCCCCACACUUCUCACUUCUCUUUUUGUACAUGGCAGAUAUGUUUUUUCCUAUUACAUGUUUAGGUAGAUUUUUGCAUUGUUUCCUCAUGGGUUUGGUCUAACCCCCAAUGAUCCUCGUGUAUCUUUUGCUUUGAUUAUUAAUAUAUUUGGCCUUUGCUGUUAUGACCUUUUGCUUGUUGAGGUGGGAACCUAAUUGAAAUUAUGACAAAUACUUGAUCUCAGUUUAGUGUCCAUUAUAUAUAUAUAUAUAUAUAUAUAUAUAUAUAUAUAUAUAUCCAACCAUCAUGGGACUAAGGUUUACAAUGUCCAUGUUAGACGGAGCUAAAUUUUUUGUCGUCAUUGUGUAUGACAAUAUUCUAUAUUAAUAAUCAGCUCAUUUUUGUUUUAUAAUGAAAUUUUUGUUUCGUGGGAAAGUGAAAACACAGGUAAAAACUGCAGGAGGUCAUGGAAAUUGAGAAAGGUCAACCCCUUGGGCAUUAUAUGGGCUCAUAGUAGUUAUGUUACCUCACCAGCAAUUAUGUACUGUUAUGCUAUUUUAUGAUUAUGGGGAAAACAUUAUCAUUAAGCUCUGACUCUGUAUUGCGGACACCAUCUUCAACCAGCUCGAUCAAGAUACUUGUG